This 442-nucleotide ribosomal RNA is filed under the name uncultured bacterium. Its description in RNAcentral is "partial 16S ribosomal RNA". It matches the Rfam family "Bacterial small subunit ribosomal RNA", at positions 338 to 795 of the family's 1533-position model. The record is from RNAcentral.
CCUACGGGUGGCAGCAGUAGGGAAUCUUUCACAAUGGGCGAAAGCCUGAUGGAGCAACGCCGCGUGCAGGAUGAAGGCCUUCGGGUUGUAAACUGCUUUUAUAAGCGAGAAAUAUGAUGGUAACUUAUGAAUAAGGAUCGGCUAACUACGUGUCAGCAGCGGCGGUCAUACGUAGUACCCGAGCAUUAUGCGGGGUGACUGGGUGUAAAGAGUUGCGUAGGUGGGAUAAUAAGUAGCUAGUGAAAUCUGGUGGUUCAACCAUUCAGACUAUUAGCUAAACUGUUAAGCUCGAGACCGUUAGGGGUAACUGGAAUUUCUAGUGUAGGAGUGGAAUCCGUAGAUAUUAGAAGGAACACCAGUGGCGUAGGCAGGUUACUGGGACGGUUCUGACACUAAGGCACGAAAGCAUAGGGAGCAAACGGGAUUAGAUACCCGUGUAGUC